AGAUGAAUGGCUGAGUGGUUUAAAGCAUCAAUUUUGAAAAUUGACAUAAUAUUUUUAUCGUGGGUUCGAAUCCUACUUCAUCUA
RNAcentral lists this transfer RNA (84 nucleotides) under Chondrus crispus (carragheen). RNAcentral's name for it is "tRNA-Ser". It matches the Rfam family "tRNA". From Rfam's summary of the family: Transfer RNA (tRNA) molecules are approximately 80 nucleotides in length. Their secondary structure includes four short double-helical elements and three loops (D, anti-codon, and T loops). Lineage: Eukaryota; Rhodophyta; Florideophyceae; Gigartinales; Gigartinaceae. The record is from RNAcentral.